GAUGAACGCUGGCGGCGUGCCUAAUACAUGCAAGUCGAGCGAACAGACGAGGAGCUUGCUCCUCUGACGUUAGCGGCGGACGGGUGAGUAACACGUGGAUAACCUACCUAUAAGACUGGGAUAACUUCGGGAAACCGGCGCUAAUACCGGAUAACAUGUUGAACCGCAUGGUUCAACAGUGAAAGACGGUCUUGCUGUCACUUAUAGAUGGAUCCGCGCCGCAUUAGCUAGUUGGUAAGGUAACGGCUUACCAAGGCAACGAUGCGUAGCCGACCUGAGAGGGUGAUCGGCCACACUGGAACUGAGACACGGUCCAGACUCCUACGGGAGGCAGCAGUAGGGAAUGUUCCGCAAUGGGCGAAAGCCUGACGGAGCAACGCCGCGUGAGUGAUGAAGGUCUUCGGAUCGUAAAACUCUGUUAUGAGGGAAGAACAAAUGUGUAAGUAACUAUGCACGUCUUGACGGUACCGAAUCAGAAAGCCACGGCUAACUACGU
RNAcentral lists this ribosomal RNA (496 nucleotides) under uncultured bacterium. RNAcentral's name for it is "partial 16S ribosomal RNA". It matches the Rfam family "Bacterial small subunit ribosomal RNA", at positions 28 to 506 of the family's 1533-position model. The record is from RNAcentral.